This 71-nucleotide transfer RNA is filed under the name pig gut metagenome. It matches the Rfam family "tRNA". From Rfam's summary of the family: Transfer RNA (tRNA) molecules are approximately 80 nucleotides in length. The record is from RNAcentral.
GGGGAUUGGCUCAGUUGGUAGAGCAUCUGCUUUGCAAGCAGAGGGUCAUCGGUUCGAGUCCGAUAUUCUCC